UGUCCGAUGCCGAGGCGGUGCCUGAUGCGGUGGCUGAGGCGGUUCCCGAUGCAAUGUCCGAUGCCGAGGCGGUGCCCGAUGCCGAGGCGGUGCCUGAUGCGGUGGCCGAGGCGGUUCCCGAUGCAAUGUCCGAUGCCGAGGCGGUGCCCGAUGCGGUGCCAGAGACGGUGCCAGAGACGGUUCCCGAUGUAAUGCCCGAGACCGAGGCUGUUCCGGAGGUCGAGGCGGUGCCCGAUGUUGUUCCCGAUGCCGAGGCGGUGCCCGAUGUUGUU
Cyprinus carpio carpio is the source of this 272-nucleotide long non-coding RNA. Lineage: Eukaryota; Metazoa; Chordata; Actinopteri; Cypriniformes; Cyprinidae. The record is from Ensembl.